CGUGCCCCACUCGUGUUGCAGACGUGGCUGUAGUGCCCCGUUUGUGUCAUUAGGUGGCAGAGAGGAAAAGGCCGUGUCUUUGCUAGCGCUCUGAAACCUGUGAGCGCUCGGGAAUGAUGAGCAGCCUGACAAU
This 133-nucleotide small nucleolar RNA is filed under the name Eurypyga helias (sunbittern). RNAcentral describes it as "Small nucleolar RNA SNORA17". It matches the Rfam family "Small nucleolar RNA SNORA17". From Rfam's summary of the family: snoRNA ACA 17 belongs to the H/ACA family of snoRNAs and is predicted to guide pseudouridylation of the 28S rRNA at positions U4659 and U4598. Lineage: Eukaryota; Metazoa; Chordata; Aves; Eurypygiformes; Eurypygidae. The record is from Rfam by way of RNAcentral.